UCUUCGUUCCCAGUAUUCUCACUUAUUUUUUUGUCUGUAUCCAUUUCUCUUUUGCUGUUCUUUUUUCCCUGUAUCUUCACUCGUCUUUCUUCUGACCACGCUCCUUUUCUGAUCUUUCUUCCCUGUAUCCUCACACCUCUUCAUCAUCUCCACUCCUCUUCUGCUCUUCUUUUUUCAUUGUACUUUCUCCUCUUUCUUCAUCUGCUCUCUUUCACUGCUCUUCUGUUUAUAGCACUAUCUGCUCUUCUUUACUGCUCUUUUCAUUCUCUGCUCUUCUGUCCUCACUUCUUCUCUUGUGCUUUUCUUGCUUGCCUCUUUCCUCUCUUCCCAUCUCCUUUACUUCUGCCACACUUGGUUUCUCUCUAUUCCUCUUCAGCUCCUCUCCACUUCUGCUUUUGUCUUAACUGCUGUAUCCUUUCCAUCGUGCUAGUCCCUUUGUCAUGACUCCUCCUGCCUCUCCGUUCUACCUCCUUCAACUUUCUGACUGUUACAGAUGACAUUCAUCCCUUCCCACCCUCCCUGGACUGUACACGUGCCAGCUCUGGAUGUCCCCAGAGGGACUCGCUGUGACCUCACAGUCUUGGUGCUGCCUCAUGCACUGGAUUUCACAGCACCUUGACAGUGAGUAGUGGUCUUCUGAGGAUGCUGAGCAAUGCUCUUGAGCUCUGUUCUUUUUCUGGACCAGUAUCCCAAGCCAUCUUGAGCCCAGAGCCCAUCUCUCUUUUUCCCUGGGGUUCUGGGGCAGAGGUUGGACUUUGCCAGCCGCCAGCUUCACAACGCAAGGGACAGCAGCAGGGCAGUCCUGCAGCUCAUGGCAGCCCUGUGGCUCUGCUCCCUUGCCAGGCUGGAGAGCUGAAUCAGCUCUGAGACGUGGCCCCAGUUGUCCUCCUGACAGUUGAUCCUGAUCCUUCCCUGAGUCCUGUUGCAGACUGCUGAUAAGAGGAGCAGGUAACAGGCAGAAGGAUCUGGCCUUCUGCUAGGUGGCAGCCACCUGCAUGAUCUGUUCCUGCGUUUCUUUUUUUUUUUUCUCCAGGGUGGCCUUGUGCUUCCCAAGGAGUGUGCGGACUUUUCUGAUGGGAGUGAGCAGCAAGGAGCCAAAGAGGUCUCAGCUUCCUUCCUGCCCAGCCACCUGGGUGAGGGACACUGCAAACAGCCCAGGAGCAGUGUAUGAAACAUCCCCAAGGGCUCCUUCUGCCAGGGUCUCUUGUUUUCCUGCCUCUGACUUUCCUCAGAAACCCAAAGCAGCAGUGUGAAGCCUGCUGGAGUCUUGUGUUGUUGUUUGCUGCUCACCGCCUGUUCAAAUGCUCCAGAGGAGUAUUCUUUGUUCCACAGAAAUUGCAGGCGGCCGUUCUUAGAGGUGCUUUGUGCUUCCUGCUCAGCCUGAGAAGGUGGAGUUAUGCUGACUUUUCCUCAGUACUCUAAGCUCUCUUUAAUGAAAUAAAUUACAAUGAAAGCUGAGCCAUGAGCAGACCAGUUCUGCCCGUGCAGGUUCGGUGACCUCCUCAUUCCCCCUGCCACGUGGCGUGGUGCUGGCAGAACUGUCUGUGUUUCCUUGGACCUACCUGCUCACGGUGCUUGCACAGCUAUCCGGGUUUCCUUUAUGCCAUGUAUCUAAAGCUGCCUUUCUCUUCCAGGCGGAGCCUUUUUUUGUGUCAAGAUUGUUUUGCUUGUGUAACUAGAGAGGGUUUUUCAUUUACUUCUAUACUCUGGUCCAUUCCCAUGUCUUCCUUCCUCUGCAUACAUGAGGGCAUCCUCAUCACGUCUGCUGGUGCUGGGGGUGGGCCAAAGGGCUUCCACCAGAGGGAGACCCAGCUGUGCAGAACAGAAGGGUGUGAAGCGGUAUUGAGCUAGGCCUGGCCCAGAGUGCUCAGGGCAGUGCAGGGCAGUGGUGGGUCGCUGUCUGCGAGAUAUGGUUUAGUAGCUUGUGAUAGCAGUGGUAAUGAGAAGACGUUUGGACUAGAUGAUCUUAUAGGUUGUUUCUAACCUUGUGAUUCUAUGAACCAUGGGUUGUAUUAUUCUGUGCUUUGACUUUUGGUCAGAUCUAGACCAACUCAGAGGGUGAAAUCUGUAAGAAAGAAGCCUACUUCAGGUAUUACUGUAGGAUACAGGACUGAAAUCUUUUCCCUUGCUUGGGAAGCUGUGUGGCUGCAUUGCAGAGAGUACGGUUUGCAGUUUGUACAAUUAAUGAAUAAUGUUAUGGUAUAGCAGUGUACAAUCAAUGAAUAUACAGAUGGUAUAGUAUAUCCAGGAG
This is a non-coding RNA of Meleagris gallopavo (turkey), 2251 nucleotides long. The record is from RefSeq and is a predicted model, not a curated record. Lineage: Eukaryota; Metazoa; Chordata; Aves; Galliformes; Phasianidae.